Molecule: long non-coding RNA, 2016 nt
Filed under: Naja naja (Indian cobra)
Lineage: Eukaryota; Metazoa; Chordata; Lepidosauria; Squamata; Elapidae
Description: lncRNA (ENSNNAG00000010142.1)
Source: RNAcentral
AAUUUUAUAUAUUCUAGCUUUACAAAUAAGGCAUUCCUAGAGGGUUGCAAUGGUGACAAAUUAUUCUGCUGGGGUUGUUAAAAAGCAUUUCGUCUGUCUAAAACAGGCCCAAGAGCAAGAUGGCUCACAGCCAGGCUAAGAAACGCAGGAGGAGUCGAAGUGAUUCCCGGAGCCGACGAGACAAGGAGGAAGAUAAGAAACGGAGGAAGAGCAGCAAAGAUUCCCGAGAGAGAAGGAGCCAAUCCCCAGCAAGCAAAAAAGAAUCUGAACCCCAGGAAUUCAGGAUGAGUUUAUCCUCUUCCAAAGACGGUAACAAGUAUCGGUAUGAACAUAAACAUGAUGCCAGGUGGGAUGAGCCAAAGGGGCAUGGCACAAAAGCAACAAAGUCACAAAAGUAGGUAAAGUCCCUUUAAUUCCUCCAACUUGGCCCCCAAUGUCCAGUUAUCAUUGGCUGGAGAAAAAAACUCUCCCAAGAACAGUUUGUAAAGGGAAGAAAUUCAGUCCGAACCCAAAGUAUAUAUAGAUUUUAAAUAAAAACCAACACAAAUCACAACUGCAGCAAUUAACGAGACAGGGCAGGGUAAGGAAUUGCAGACUUCAAAAGAUAAUGAAACACACACAGUUGGGAGGACGCCAGAACCCAGAUAAGACUUGACAAACAAAGAUAAUUCACGCUUUGCUUCCAGCAAGGUGCUGUGCACAAACACCCUUUUUAAAUCCUGUUUUCCCAGCUGCAACUAAUGAAAGGGAUCAGGGCCCUUUUCUCUCCCAUAAGCCACAUUGCUCCCUUCUCCAUUCCUCCCUGCGUGCCCUAGGAUGAAGAGGGGGUGGGCCUGGGUCUUCCUCUGAAUGCCCAGCCAGACUGUGCCCUUCCCCAGUUUCUUCCACAGCCACUGGAGCCACUCCCCCACUCCCUGUCAGCUGCUUGACCUCCCCCUUGGAAUGACAUGGCAUGACAUCAGGAUUCCAGCAGUUACCCCCAAUUAAAUCAUGAGUCUCGAGCCAAACUUCUGGAACUUCAAAAGGAGUUAACAUGCCGGCACUGCCUGGGUGUAGCCGACUCUGAGGCACAUCAUCCAUUGUCCCCCUUGACUCUGGUUUUGCCCCCACCCCCUGGGUGUAUCGUAAUUCAUAUUCUCCAAUGGGACACAUCCAUAGCCAAGAGUCAUCAAUCAUGCUCUCCAGUUAGAAUUUUGCCCAGCAGAAACUUCAGUCACCUAAGUUACUAUCUUUGAAAAAUUAUGUAUGGAAUGCACUUUUGGUUUCCAAGCUGCCGCACUGCCCUUUCCACCCCUCCCUUUCUGUUGGGAACUCUUAAAAAAAACCAUAGAAAUAUUUUAUGAGUUGACACAUGAACAAAGGAAGUAAAUACAGAUCAAUGGGAACCAUAGGACAGGGACGGUAGGCACGCUGGUGCGCUUAUGCACACCCCCUUUAAGGACCUCUUAGGAAUGGGGUGAGGUCCACGGUAGACAGUUUGAGGUUGAAGCUGGGAGGGUUUGAGGCUGUAACAAGAGAGUCAGAUUGUGGAGGCUGGCAGCAGUGAGGAAGAGGUCCCCGAGGAGCCCAGUGCGCAUGUGCACAGGGCUUAUUGAAGGAAAGAGCAGCUGCAGCAGCACUGGUGACUCAGGAGUAAGGCUGCAAGGUGAUGGCCCCUCCCUUAAGGGAUAAAAGCCAGCUGAGAAACCGGAGUUCUUUGCAGGAAGCAAAGACGUUUUUGCACUCAAGCCUUGUGGACAUUCGGGAUAUCUUGGUUGGUGUUUGGAGACUCUUUGCGUUUGAACUAUUUCUUGGCAACUUUAUCCAGUGUUCUUGGCAGCCUUGCAAAACCUUGGCAAGGCUGGUUCUUAUCAGAGACAAUUAGUCUGAAACAGCCUUUUCAAUCGGGAAGGAACGGAAUUCGUAAAGAAUCAUUAAAAGGUUUUGCUGCUACCUCCCGUUUGGUGUUUCUUUCCUUGGAACAAGGUUUGGGUCAGAGCAAUAAUAAAUUAAGCCGGUAGGAUCACACCUCCUGGA